Molecule: non-coding RNA, 634 nt
Organism: Vigna umbellata (rice bean)
Lineage: Eukaryota; Viridiplantae; Streptophyta; Magnoliopsida; Fabales; Fabaceae
Source: RefSeq, a predicted model, not a curated record
AUGCAACACCCACUCCUUCCUAUAUUCUAUUCAUAACUCUCAUCAUUCAUUCAUCCACUUUCCUUAAUCUUUCAUUUUAGAUCUCUUACCUUCUUCUUCUUCUUCUCUGUUAGCCUUUUGUUCCAUCGUUAUUUUGUAUCUGUAUCAGCCUCAUCUUUGUUUUUUUUUUCUUUCUUGUAAAAGGUUCCCAUCUCAAGCUUAUGAGACCAUAGGUGGAGUGAAGAUGGAUCUGUGGCCACUGAAGAAAGGGCAAGAUAAGGAAUGAUUGUAUACGAAGAGAUAUUAGCAUAACUUAUUGAGGAAAAGAAGAUAGAAAUUCGGUAUGCAAAGAAGUCCAUUCGAGGCAUUGGUGAGGAGAGAUGACAUGAUUUCUAGCCCCAUGAGCAGUAAAGAGAGAUCAAAAAGGACAUUGGACAAAUUAAAAGGGAUUUCAUGAUAAUCAUCGGUAGCUUCAUUAAUAUUCUUUCAAGGAUACAUACUUGAGGUAGGCAAGCACAUAUCCGGCGAUAAUGUUUGGAGGCAACAAUGGAAAUCGCUUGCUUCCUGUUUUCUUGGAUGAGACUCAAUUUCGGCAUCAAACUAAUGCAUCAAAUCAGCUACAGUUGUUUGGAAACUCACAAAUGGUAAUGGUGUU